UCCGAGUUGACCCCGGCAGUCUCCUAUGAGUCCCCACCAUCACGUGCUGGCAACAUAGAACGAGGGUUGCGCUCGUUGCGGGACUUAACCCAACACCUCACGGCACGAGCUGACGACAACCAUGCACCACCUGUAUAGGACGCCGAAGCACACCGCAUCUCUGCGGCUUUUCCCUAUAUGUCAAGCCCUGGUAAGGUUCUUCGCGUUGCGUCGAAUUAAGCCACAUGCUCCGCCGCUUGUGCGGGCCCCCGUCAAUUCCUUUGAGUUUUAACCUUGCGGUCGUAAUCCCCAGGCGGGGUGCUUAAUGCGUUAGCUGCGGCACGGAGGGAGUGGAUAACCCCCCACACCUAGCACCCAUCGUUUACGGCGUGGACUAC
Molecule: unclassified non-coding RNA, 377 nt
Filed under: uncultured Euzebyaceae bacterium
Lineage: Bacteria; Bacillati; Actinomycetota; Nitriliruptoria; Euzebyales; Euzebyaceae
Description: contains 16S-23S intergenic spacer region
Source: RNAcentral